UACGGGGGGGGCAAGCGUUGUUCGGAAUUACUGGGCGUAAAGGGCUCGUAGGCGGCCAACUAAGUCGGACGUGAAAUCCCCAGGCUCAACCUGGGAACUGCGUCCGAUACUGGAUGGCUUGAAUCCGGGAGAGGGAUGCAGAAUUCCAGGUGUAGCGGUGAAAUGCGUAGAGAUCUGGAAGAACACCAAAGGCGAAGGCAGCGUUCUGGCUCGUAACUGACGCUCAUGUGCGAAAGCCAGGGGAGCGAACGGG
RNAcentral lists this ribosomal RNA (253 nucleotides) under uncultured bacterium. RNAcentral's name for it is "partial 16S ribosomal RNA". It matches the Rfam family "Bacterial small subunit ribosomal RNA", at positions 524 to 776 of the family's 1533-position model. The record is from RNAcentral.